This 366-nucleotide ribosomal RNA is filed under the name uncultured Methanosaeta sp. RNAcentral describes it as "bacterial SSU rRNA". It matches the Rfam family "Archaeal small subunit ribosomal RNA", at positions 974 to 1338 of the family's 1478-position model. Lineage: Archaea; Methanobacteriati; Methanobacteriota; Methanomicrobia; Methanotrichales; Methanotrichaceae. The record is from RNAcentral.
GAUUAGCUGAGAGGUGGUGCAUGGCCGUCGUCAGUUCGUACUGUGAAGCAUCCUGUUAAGUCAGGCAACGAGCGAGACCCACGUCCACAGUUGCCAGCAUACCCCUCCGGGGUGAUGGGUACACUGUGGAGACCGCCGCUGCUAAAGCGGAGGAAGGAGUGGGCAACGGUAGGUCAGUAUGCCCCGAAUCUCCCGGGCUACACGCGGGCUACAAUGGUUGGUACAAUGGGCAUCUACCCCGAAAGGGGAAGGAAAUCUCUUAAAGCCAAUCGUAGUUCGGAUUGAGGGCUGCAACUCGCCCUCAUGAAGCUGGAAUCCGUAGUAAUCGCGUUUCAACAGAACGCGGUGAAUACGUCCCUGCUCCUU